AACGAACGCUGGCGGCAUGCCUAACACAUGCAAGUCGAACGGGAUCCUAGCUUGCUAGGUGAGAGUGGCGGACGGGUGAGUAACACGUGGGAAUCUGCCUUUUGGUUCGGGAUAACCGCGGGAAACUGCGGCUAAUACCGAAUGCCCUCGAGAGAGGAAAGAUUUAUCGCCAGAAGAGGAGCCCGCGUCCGAUUAGGUAGUUGGUGGGGUAAAGGCCUACCAAGCCGACGAUCGGUAGCUGGUCUGAGAGGAUGAUCAGCCACACUGGGACUGAGAUACGGCCCAGACUCCUACGGGAGGCAGCAGUGGGGAAUAUUGGACAAUGGGGGCAACCCUGAUCCAGCAAUGCCGCGUGAGUGAUGAAGGCCUUAGGGUUGUAAAGCUCUUUUGCCAGGGAAGAUGAUGACUGUACCUGGAGAAUAAGCCCCGGCUAACUUCGUGCCAGUAGCCGCGGUAAU
Molecule: ribosomal RNA, 458 nt
Filed under: uncultured bacterium
Lineage: Bacteria
Description: bacterial SSU rRNA
Rfam family: Bacterial small subunit ribosomal RNA
Source: RNAcentral